This 253-nucleotide ribosomal RNA is filed under the name uncultured bacterium. RNAcentral describes it as "partial 16S ribosomal RNA". It matches the Rfam family "Bacterial small subunit ribosomal RNA", at positions 524 to 776 of the family's 1533-position model. The record is from RNAcentral.
GACGUAGGGUGCAAGCGUUGUCCGGAUUUAUUGGGCGUAAAGAGCUCGUAGGCGGCUCGUCGCGUCGACUGUGAAAACUCGGGGCUUAACCUCGGGCUUGCAGUCGAUACGGGCGGGCUAGAGUUCGGUAGGGGAGACUGGAAUUCCUGGUGUAGCGGUGAAAUGCGCAGAUAUCAGGAGGAACACCGGUGGCGAAGGCGGGUCUCUGGGCCGAUACUGACGCUGAGGAGCGAAAGCGUGGGGAGCGAACAGG